CUCCGGUUGAUCCCGCCGGACCCGACUGCUAUCAGAGUGAGAUUAAGCCAUGCGAGUCAACGUAGCAAUACGUGGCACACGGCUCAGUAACACGUAGUCAACAUAACCAAAGGACGUGGAUAAACUCGGGAAACUGAGGCUAAACCGCGAUAGAUCAAGAUAUCUGGAAUGGUUUUUGAUCGAAAUCUAUAUGGCCUUUGGAUUGGACUGCGUCCGAUCAGGCUGUUGGUGAGGUAAUGGCCCACCAAACCUGUAACCGGUACGGGCUCUGAGAGGAGGAGCCCGGAGAUGGGUACUGAGAAAAGGACCCAGGCCCUAUGGGGCGCAGCAGGCGCGAAACCUCUGCAAUAGGCGAAAGCCUGACAGGGUUACUCUGAGUGACUUUCGCUAAGAAAGUCUUUUGACAUCUCUAAAAAUGGUGUAGAAUAAGGGGUGGGCAAGUCUGGUGUCAGCCGCCGCGGUAAUACCAGCACCCCGAGUGGUCGGGACGAUUAUUGGGCCUAAAGCAUCCGUAGCCGGUUUUACAAGUCCUCCGUUAAAUCCAGCUGCUUAACAGAUGGGCUGCGGAGGAUACUAUAAGACUAGGAGGCAGGAGAGGCAAGCGGUACUCAGUGGGUAGGGGUAAAAUCCGUUGAUCCAUUGAAGACCACCAGUGGCGAAGGCGGCUUGCCAGAAUGCGCUCGACGGUGAGGGAUGAAAGCUGGGGGAGCAAACCGGAUUAGAUACCCGGGUAGUCCCAGCUGUAAACGAUGCAGACUCGGUGAUGGACUAGCUUUAUGCUAGUCCAGUGCCGCAGGGAAGCCGUUAAGUCUGCCGCCUGGGUAGUACGGUCGCAAGACUGAAACUUAAAGGGAUUGGCGGGGGAGCA
RNAcentral lists this ribosomal RNA (868 nucleotides) under uncultured archaeon. Its description in RNAcentral is "bacterial SSU rRNA". It matches the Rfam family "Archaeal small subunit ribosomal RNA", at positions 1 to 878 of the family's 1478-position model. The record is from RNAcentral.